RNAcentral lists this ribosomal RNA (372 nucleotides) under uncultured organism. RNAcentral's name for it is "partial 16S ribosomal RNA". It matches the Rfam family "Bacterial small subunit ribosomal RNA", at positions 527 to 896 of the family's 1533-position model. The record is from RNAcentral.
GUAGGUGGCAAGCGUUGUCCGGAAUCAUUGGGCGUAAAGCGCGCGCAGGCGGUCCUUUAAGUCUGAUGUGAAAGCCCACGGCUCAACCGUGGAGGGUCAUUGGAAACUGGGGGACUUGAGUACAGAAGAGGAAAGCGGAAUUCCAAGUGUAGCGGUGAAAUGCGUAGAGAUUUGGAGGAACACCAGUGGCGAAGGCGGCUUUCUGGUCUGUAACUGACGCUGAGGCGCGAAAGCGUGGGGAGCAAACAGGGAUUAGAUACCCUGGUAGUCCACGCCGUAAACGAUGAGUGCUAAGUGUUAGGGGGUUUCCCGCCCCUUAGUGCUGCAGCUAACGCAUUAAGCACUCCGCCUGGGGAUACGGCCGCAAGGCUG